GUGGGGAUGACGUCAAGUCCUCAUGGCCUUUAUGUCCAGGGCUACACACGUGCUACAAUGGUCGGUACAAACCGUCGCAAACCUGCAAAGGGGAGC
RNAcentral lists this ribosomal RNA (96 nucleotides) under uncultured Acidobacteriota bacterium. RNAcentral's name for it is "uncultured Acidobacteria bacterium partial 16S ribosomal RNA". It matches the Rfam family "Bacterial small subunit ribosomal RNA", at positions 1173 to 1268 of the family's 1533-position model. The record is from RNAcentral. Lineage: Bacteria; Pseudomonadati; Acidobacteriota.